RNAcentral lists this ribosomal RNA (428 nucleotides) under uncultured bacterium. RNAcentral describes it as "partial 16S ribosomal RNA". It matches the Rfam family "Bacterial small subunit ribosomal RNA", at positions 354 to 796 of the family's 1533-position model. The record is from RNAcentral.
GUGGGGAAUAUUGGGCAAUGGGCGCAAGCCUGACCCAGCAACGCCGCGUGAAGGAAGAAGGCUUUCGGGUUGUAAACUUCUUUUACCAGGGACGAAAAAAAUGACGGUACCUGGAGAAUAAGCCACGGCUAACUACGUGCCAGCAGCCGCGGUAAUACGUAGGUGGCAAGCGUUGUCCGGAUUUACUGGGUGUAAAGGGCGCGUAGGCGGGAGAGCAAGUCAGGAGUGAAAUCUAUGGGCUUAACCCAUAAAUUGCUUUUGAAACUGUUUUUCUUGAGUGAUGGAGAGGCAAGCGGAAUUAGUAGUGUAGCGGUGAAAUGCGUAGAUAUUAGGAGGAACACCAGUGGCGAAGGCGGCUUGCUGGACAUUAACUGACGCUGAUGCGCGAAAGCGUGGGGAGCAAACAGGAUUAGAAACCCGUGUAGUCC